RNAcentral lists this ribosomal RNA (850 nucleotides) under Rhodococcus sp. (in: high G+C Gram-positive bacteria). RNAcentral describes it as "bacterial SSU rRNA". It matches the Rfam family "Bacterial small subunit ribosomal RNA", at positions 90 to 960 of the family's 1533-position model. Lineage: Bacteria; Bacillati; Actinomycetota; Actinomycetes; Mycobacteriales; Nocardiaceae. The record is from RNAcentral.
ACCGAGCGGCGACGGGUGAGUAACACGUGGGUGAUCUGCCCUGCACUUCGGGAUAAGCUUGGGAAACUGGGUCUAAUACCGGAUAUGACUGCUGAUCGCAUGGUUGGUGGUGGAAAGAUUUAUCGGUGCAGGAUGGGCCCGCGGCCUAUCAGCUUGUUGGUGGGGUAAUGGCCUACCAAGGCGACGACGGGUAGCCGACCUGAGAGGGUGACCGGCCACACUGGGACUGAGACACGGCCCAGACUCCUACGGGAGGCAGCAGUGGGGAAUAUUGCACAAUGGGCGAAAGCCUGAUGCAGCGACGCCGCGUGAGGGAUGAAGGCCUUCGGGUUGUAAACCUCUUUCAGCAGGGACGAAGCGAAAGUGACGGUACCUGCAGAAGAAGCACCGGCUAACUACGUGCCAGCAGCCGCGGUAAUACGUAGGGUGCAAGCGUUGUCCGGAAUUACUGGGCGUAAAGAGUUCGUAGGCGGUUUGUCGCGUCGUUUGUGAAAACCCGUAGCUCAACUACGGGCCUGCAGGCGAUACGGGCAGACUUGAGUACUGCAGGGGAGACUGGAAUUCCUGGUGUAGCGGUGAAAUGCGCAGAUAUCAGGAGGAACACCGGUGGCGAAGGCGGGUCUCUGGGCAGUAACUGACGCUGAGGAACGAAAGCGUGGGUAGCAAACAGGAUUAGAUACCCUGGUAGUCCACGCCGUAAACGGUGGGCGCUAGGUGUGGGUUCCUUCCACGGGAUCUGUGCCGUAGCUAACGCAUUAAGCGCCCCGCCUGGGGGAGUACGCCGCAGGCUAAAACUCAAGGAUUGACGGGGCCCGCACAGCGCGAGCAUGUGGAUUAAUUUCGAUGCAAC